RNAcentral lists this ribosomal RNA (114 nucleotides) under Bacillus mojavensis. RNAcentral also lists the same sequence under 4 other names. Lineage: Bacteria; Bacillati; Bacillota; Bacilli; Caryophanales; Bacillaceae. The record is from RNAcentral.
UGGUGGCGAUAGCGAAGAGGUCACACCCGUUCCCAUGCCGAACACGGAAGUUAAGCUCUUCAGCGCCGAUGGUAGUCGGGGGUUUCCCCCUGUGAGAGUAGGACGCCGCCAAGC